This 475-nucleotide ribosomal RNA is filed under the name uncultured bacterium. Its description in RNAcentral is "bacterial SSU rRNA". It matches the Rfam family "Bacterial small subunit ribosomal RNA", at positions 33 to 507 of the family's 1533-position model. The record is from RNAcentral.
GAGGACGACGCUGGCGGCGCGCCUAACACAUGCAAGUCGAGCGGAGAUAUACGAAGAGUAAUCCGAGUAUAUCUUAGCGGCGGACGGGUGAGUAACGCGUGAGUGACCUGCCUCUUACAGGGGAAUAACGUGCCGAAAGGCACACUAAUACCGCAUAAGACCACGAAACCGCAUGGUUAUGAGGUCAAAGGAGCAAUCCGGUAAGAGAUGGGCUCGCGUCCGAUUAGAUAGUUGGUGAGGUAACGGCCCACCAAGUCGACGAUCGGUAGCCGACCUGAGAGGGUGAUCGGCCACAUUGGAACUGAGAGACGGUCCAGACUCCUACGGGAGGCAGCAGUGGGGAAUAUUGGGCAAUGGGGGAGACCCUGACCCAGCGACGCCGCGUGAGGGACGAAGGUUUUCGGAUCGUAAACCUCUGUUGUACGGGAAGAAGGAUGUGACGGUACCGUACGAGGAAGCCCCGGCAAACUACGUG